This 497-nucleotide ribosomal RNA is filed under the name uncultured bacterium. Its description in RNAcentral is "partial 16S ribosomal RNA". It matches the Rfam family "Bacterial small subunit ribosomal RNA", at positions 28 to 507 of the family's 1533-position model. The record is from RNAcentral.
GAUGAACGCUGGCGGCGUGCCUAAUACAUGCAAGUCGAGCGAACAGAUGAGGAGCUUGCUCCUCUGACGUUAGCGGCGGACGGGCGAGUAACACGUGGAUAACCUACCUAUAUGACUGGGAUAACUUCGGGAAACCGGAGCUAAUACCGGAUAAUAUAUUGAACCGCAUGGUUCAAUAGUGAAAGACGGUUUUGCUGUCACUUAUAGAUGGAUCCGCGCCGCAUUAGCUAGUUGGUAAGGUAACGGCUUACCAAGGCAACGAUGCGUAGCCGACCUGAGAGGGUGAUCGGCCACACUGGAACUGAGACACGGUCCAGACUCCUACGGGAGGCAGCAGUAGGGAAUCUUCCGCAAUGGGCGAAAGCCUGACGGAGCAACGCCGCGUGAGUGAUGAAGGUCUUCGGAUCGUAAAACUCUGUUAUUAGGGAAGAACAAAUGUGUAAGUAACUAUGCACGUCUUGACGGUACCUAAUCAGAAAGCCACGGCUAACUACGUG